GUCAACUACCCCCACCUAAGAGGUGAGGGCUUGAAAAAGCCUUAGUUGAUUAGCCUAAGCAUUAAGUUACUACGUUAUUUUAGAAUAUAUAGUUACCCUAGAAUGCUCCACAAGUUCUAGGCUCUAAGGUUAGUGAUUAAACAUCUUUGAG
Molecule: non-coding RNA, 151 nt
Rfam family: HNH endonuclease-associated RNA and ORF (HEARO) RNA
Source: Rfam